GAUGAACGCUGGCGGCGUGCCUAAUACAUGCAAGUCGAGCGAACGGACGAUAAGCUUGCUUCUCUGAUGUUAGCGGCGGACGGGUGAGUAACACGUGGAUAACCUACCUAUAAGACUGGGAUAACUUCGGGAAACCGGAGCUAAUACCGGAUGAUAUUUUGAACCGCAUGGUUCAAAAGUGAAAGACGGUCUUGCUGUCACUUAUAGAUGGAUCCGCGCUGCAUUAGCUAGUUGGUAAGGUAACGGCUUACCAAGGCAACGAUGCAUAGCCGACCUGAGAGGGUGAUCGGCCACACUGGAACUGAGACACGGUCCAGACUCCUACGGGAGGCAGCAGUAGGGAAUCUUCGGCAAUGGGCGAAAGCCUGACGGAGCAACGCCGCGUGAGUGAUGAAGGUCUUCGGAUCGUAAAGCUCUGUUAUUAGGGAAGAACAUAUGUGUAAGUAACUGUGCACAUCUUGACGGUACCUAAUCAGAAAGCAACGGCUAACUACGUG
Molecule: ribosomal RNA, 497 nt
Filed under: uncultured bacterium
Lineage: Bacteria
Description: partial 16S ribosomal RNA
Rfam family: Bacterial small subunit ribosomal RNA
Source: RNAcentral